GUGCUCGCUUCGGCAGCACAUAUACUAAAAUUGGGACGAUAUGGAGAAGAUUAGCAUGGCCCCUGCACAAGGAUGACAUGCAAAUUCAUGAAGCAUUCCAUAUUUAA
This 107-nucleotide small nuclear RNA is filed under the name Tupaia belangeri chinensis (Chinese tree shrew). The record is from RNAcentral. Lineage: Eukaryota; Metazoa; Chordata; Mammalia; Scandentia; Tupaiidae.